UAGGGAAUCUUCGGCAAUGGACGAAAGUCUGACCGAGCAACGCCGCGUGAGUGAAGAAGGUUUUCGGAUCGUAAAACUCUGUUGGUAGAGAAGAACGUUGGUGAGAGUGGAAAGCUCAUCAAGUGACGGUAACUACCCAGAAAGAGACGGCUAACUACGUGCCAG
Molecule: ribosomal RNA, 165 nt
Filed under: uncultured bacterium
Lineage: Bacteria
Description: partial 16S ribosomal RNA
Rfam family: Bacterial small subunit ribosomal RNA
Source: RNAcentral